RNAcentral lists this ribosomal RNA (377 nucleotides) under uncultured bacterium. RNAcentral's name for it is "bacterial SSU rRNA". It matches the Rfam family "Bacterial small subunit ribosomal RNA", at positions 523 to 898 of the family's 1533-position model. The record is from RNAcentral.
AGACGGAGGGAGCAAGCGUUGUCCGGAAUUACUGGGCGUAAAGAGCUCGUAGGCGGGAAUUUAAGUCUGGGAGUAAAUGCAUCGGCUUAACCGAUGAUUCAUCUUGGAUACUGGAUUUCUUGAGGGCAGGAGAGGAAAGGGGAAUUCCUGGUGUAGCGGUGAAAUGCGUAGAUAUCAGGAGGAACACCUGUGGCGAAGGCGCCUUUCUGGUCUGUUCCUGACGCUGAGGAGCGAAAGCCAGGGGAGCGAACGGGAUUAGAUACCCCGGUAGUCCUGGCUGUAAACGAUGGAUACUAGGUGUAGGAGGUAUCGACUCCUUCUGUGCCGUAGCAAACGCAAUAAGUAUCCCGCCUGGGGAGUACGGCCGCAAGGUUGAA